RNAcentral lists this ribosomal RNA (466 nucleotides) under uncultured bacterium. RNAcentral's name for it is "partial 16S ribosomal RNA". It matches the Rfam family "Bacterial small subunit ribosomal RNA", at positions 28 to 507 of the family's 1533-position model. The record is from RNAcentral.
GAUGAACGCUGGCGGCGUGCUUAACACAUGCAAGUCGAACGAUGAAGCCCAGCUUGCUGGGUGGAUUAGUGGCGAACGGGUGAGUAACACGUGAGUAACCUGCCCUUAACUCUGGGAUAAGCCUGGGAAACUGGGUCUAAUACCGGAUAGGAGCGUCCACCGCAUGGUGGGUGUUGGAAAGAUUUAUCGGUUUUGGAUGGACUCGCGGCCUAUCAGCUUGUUGGUGAGGUAAUGGCUCACCAAGGCGACGACGGGUAGCCGGCCUGAGAGGGUGACCGGCCACACUGGGACUGAGACACGGACCAGACUCCUACGGGAGGCAGCAGUGGGGAAUAUUGCACAAUGGGCGCAAGCCUGAUGCAGCGACGCCGCGUGAGGGAUGACGGCCUUCGGGUUGUAAACCUCUUUCAGUAGGGAAGAAGCGAAAGUGACGGUACCUGCAGAAGAAGCACCGGCUAACUACGUG